RNAcentral lists this transfer RNA (72 nucleotides) under Camelus bactrianus (Bactrian camel). It matches the Rfam family "tRNA". From Rfam's summary of the family: Transfer RNA (tRNA) molecules are approximately 80 nucleotides in length. Their secondary structure includes four short double-helical elements and three loops (D, anti-codon, and T loops). Further hydrogen bonds mediate the characteristic L-shaped molecular structure. tRNAs have two regions of fundamental functional importance: the anti-codon, which is responsible for specific mRNA codon recognition, and the 3' end, to which the tRNAs corresponding amino acid is attached (by aminoacyl-tRNA synthetases). tRNAs cope with the degeneracy of the genetic code in two manners: having more than one tRNA (with a specific anti-codon) for a particular amino acid; and 'wobble' base-pairing, i.e. permitting non-standard base-pairing at the 3rd anti-codon position. The record is from Rfam by way of RNAcentral. Lineage: Eukaryota; Metazoa; Chordata; Mammalia; Artiodactyla; Camelidae. RNAcentral also lists the same sequence under 2 other names.
GAGGGUAUAGCUCAGUGGUAGAGUGUGUGCUUAAUAUGCAUGAGGUCCAGGGUUCGAUUCCCAGUGCCGCUA